UAUCUAUGGUAUAAAUUUACAACUAUUUUUUACUCCUUCUCUUUCUAAUUCUAUCUCAGAAUUUUGAUUUUCAGAUUUUUUAAUGAUUAUUUCCGUAACAAAGAGCAGAGUCAGGCAGGAGAUGGACCAGAGGCGGCGGCCAGCAGUAAUGUUGACCAUGCAGGGUCUGCAGAGGUGAAAAAAAUAUCUAUCUAUGGAUUAAAGUGAUUUUGAGGUUAAAUUCUACUGCAAUUUUUACUCUUCCUAAUGCUAUUUCAGAAUUUUUCUUACCACAUUUUUUAUGUUUAUUGCCAUAACAGAAAGAGCAGAGUCAGGGAGGAGAUGGAUCAGAGGCCAGCAGCAGGGACAAGGAUGUCGGGUCUUUACAGAUGUUCAGAGGGAGGUGAUGCCACAUCUGGUCCAGCUGAUGGAAAGUCUUGAAGUUCUCUGACUGAAGAUGAUCCUCUGACUGGAUUUAAGGUUCAGAUGCUCAGGAACAAACUCCAGCAAUGAGCCAUCAGGGAAGCUUUAGGUUUAUUAAAUGUUGCUAUGAAGGUAUCGCUGUUUUUCUUUGUGAAUGCAAUGUGGUCCAACUGAAACUUGAACUAGAGCUUAGAAGUAAAUCCUUCCAUCUGACAGGAUUUAGUUGCAUUAAUAAUCUCAUAACGUUCUAAUUUUCAUCCCAGUCUUGGUUGGAAAUAGAAUCUCUGUAUUGAUUCGGGUAAAAACUGAACUUCACGGCAUGUUGGAGCAAAACAAGCAGAUGAAAAGUGUGAUGGCGUUGGGUUGUCAGACCGUAAUGUUGCAGCUCAAAGCAGCUUUUCUAUCUCAGUUCAUUCUGACAUUCAGCUCUGAAUCUACAGCAGAUCCAGUUGAUGGUGAUCCAUGCUGUGGAAGUCUCACAUCUCCUCAUUUAAUGACACUGUUUUUUCACCCACACUUUAUUUAAUAAAAGUCCCAUUUAGUUUUUAUGAGGAAUGUGACGUUUUAAUUUCUCUGUGAAUAACUGCAGUCUAGUGGAACAGCUGGAGUUGUAACAUCUGUCCUGAUAUUGAUCAUGAAGUACUGAUCAGAAUACUUUUGGUUAGCAGUCAUCCCUGAAGUUUUACAUGAAAAAAUCUUUACUUGUGUUGUGAACUUUGGUAAGAAGCAGAAACUUUAGCGUUGCCACGGAUCCAUGGGUGUUAAAUUCAGUCCAUGUUUCAUUUUGGGAUGCAGUCCAGCAGAUGACUUUGUUUUUACUGACAGCUACCAUUCAGUCGGAGAUAUUAAGAAUAAAUAAAUGUGCAUAAUGUGGAAAUGAA
This is a long non-coding RNA of Acanthochromis polyacanthus (spiny chromis), 1283 nucleotides long. RefSeq lists it as uncharacterized. The record is from RefSeq and is a predicted model, not a curated record. NCBI's taxonomy places the organism in Eukaryota, Metazoa, Chordata, Actinopteri, Pomacentridae. The transcript is spliced from 2 exons.